RNAcentral lists this ribosomal RNA (506 nucleotides) under uncultured bacterium. RNAcentral's name for it is "bacterial SSU rRNA". It matches the Rfam family "Bacterial small subunit ribosomal RNA", at positions 32 to 518 of the family's 1533-position model. The record is from RNAcentral.
AACGCUGGCGGCGUGCUUAACACACUGCAAGUCGAACGCGAAAGGGACUUCGGUCCUGAGUAAAGUGGCGCACGGGUGAGUAACGCGUAGAUAACCUGUCUUCAUGUCUGGAAUAAUACGCCAAAGGGGUACUAAUACCGGAUAUUCUUGCUUUUCAUAAGUUAUGCAAGCAAAGGUGGCCUCUGCAUAUGCUACUGCAUGAAGAGGGGUCUGCGUACCAUUAGCUAGUAGGUGGGGUAAUGGCCUACCUAGGCGACGAUGGUUAGCGGGUCUGAGAGGAUGAUCCGCCACACUGGCACUGGAACACGGGCCAGACUCCUACGGGAGGCAGCAGUGAGGAAUAUUGCGCAAUGGGGGAAACCCUGACGCAGCGACGCCGCGUGAGUGAGGAAGGCCUUCGGGUCGUAAAGCUCUGUCAAGAGGAAAGAAGUGUACAAUGGCUAAUACCUGUUGUAUUUGACGGUACCUCUAAAGGAAGCACCGGCUAACUCCGUGCCAGCCGCCGC